AGCAGCCGCGGUAAUUCCAGCUCCAAUAGCGUAUAUUAAAGUUGUUGCAGUUAAAAAGCUCGUAGUUGAAUUUCGGGAUCAAUUAAUUGGUCGUGCCUCUGGUACGUACUGAUUUUAUUGGUUUCUCCCUUCUGACGAACCAUGAUGUCAUUAAUUUGAUGUCGUGGAGAAUCAGGACUGUUACUUUGAAAAAAUUAGAGUGUUUAAAGCAAGCUAACGCUUGAAUACAUUAGCAUGGAAUAAUGAAAUAGGACGUUUGAUCCUACUUUGUUGGUUUCUAGGAUCGACGUAAUGAUUAAUAGGGAUAGUUGGGGGCAUUAGUAUUCAAUUGUCAGAGGUGAAAUUCUUGGAUUUAUUGAAGACUAACUACUGCGAAAGCAUUUGCCAAGGAUGUUUUCAUUAAUCAAGAACGAAAGUUAGGGGAUCGAAGACGAUCAGAUACCGUCGUAG
Molecule: ribosomal RNA, 450 nt
Filed under: uncultured Glomeromycotina
Lineage: Eukaryota; Fungi; Glomeromycota
Description: SSU rRNA
Rfam family: Eukaryotic small subunit ribosomal RNA
Source: RNAcentral